Molecule: RNA transcript, 935 nt
Organism: Lotus japonicus
Lineage: Eukaryota; Viridiplantae; Streptophyta; Magnoliopsida; Fabales; Fabaceae
Gene name: ADP-ribosylation factor-like
Exons: 7
Source: RefSeq, a predicted model, not a curated record
UUUUACAAGACACCUGAUACGACGCCGUAUCCCAAGCAUUUUUCAAUAAAAUCACCGUGUGAAGAGAAACUGUGUCCUCUUUCAUCUUUCUCUGAGAAUAAACAAAAAAUCAAUUCGAGAUUCGCUCUUCUCUCCAAAACCUUUGAAAUCGAGAAGAGCGAUUGGUGGGAGUGAAGAUGGGGUUGACGUUCACGAAGCUGUUCAGCAGGUUGUUUGCGAAGAAGGAAAUGAGGAUUUUGAUGGUGGGUCUCGAUGCUGCUGGUAAGACUACCAUCUUGUACAAGCUCAAGCUCGGUGAAAUCGUCACCACUAUCCCCACCAUUGGGUUUAAUGUUGAGACUGUGGAGUACAAGAACAUCAGCUUCACUGUGUGGGAUGUUGGGGGUCAGGACAAGAUCCGUCCACUGUGGAGGCACUACUUCCAGAACACUCAGGGACUUAUUUUUGUGGUUGAUAGCAAUGAUAGAGACCGUGUUGUUGAGGCAAGGGAUGAGUUGCACAGGAUGUUGAAUGAGGAUGAACUUAGAGAUGCCGUCUUGCUUGUUUUUGCCAACAAACAAGAUCUUCCCAAUGCAAUGAAUGCUGCUGAAAUAACUGACAAGCUUGGACUUCAUUCACUCCGCCAACGCCACUGGUAUAUCCAGAGCACUUGUGCAACAUCUGGAGAGGGUCUCUACGAGGGUUUGGACUGGCUUUCCAACAACAUUGCCAGCAAGGCAUGAGACAUUUGAAAUUUUUGGUGUGGUCUGGCCUUUUCAUGCGGGUCUGGCGGUUCUUGGAGAAGGAUGCUUUUCCUUUCUAGUGAAUGUUGUAAUAGCAGAAUGUUUGUUAGAAAUAUUCACUUUUUUAGUGUAACUUGGGUUUGUAUGAUUACUUAAAUCAGCUAAUACUUUUAGCUAUAGUUGGGUUUGCAUGACACUUAUUUUUCAUGUUUA